GUAGGGAAUAUUGCACAAUGGGCGAAAGCCUGAUGCAGCAACGCCGCGUGCGCGAAGAAGGCCUUCGGGUUGUAAAGCGCUUUUCGGGGAGAAGAGGAAGGACAGUAUCCCCGGAAUAAGGCUCGGCUAACUACGUGCCAGCAGCCGCGGUAACACGUAGGAGCCAAGCGUUAUCCGAAUUCACUGGGCGUAAAGCGCGUGUAGGCGGUCUUACAAGUUGGGUGUGAAAGCUCCUGGCUCAACUAGGAGAGGACGUUCAAUACUGUGAGACUAGAGGACGGCAGAGGAAGGUGGAAUUCCCGGUGUAGUGGUGAAAUGCGUAGAUAUCGGGAGGAACACCAGAGGCGAAGGCGGCCUUCUGGGCCGAUCCUGACGCUCAGACGCGAAAGCUAGGGGAGCGAACGGGAUUAGAUACCCGAGUAGUCC
Molecule: ribosomal RNA, 426 nt
Filed under: uncultured bacterium
Lineage: Bacteria
Description: bacterial SSU rRNA
Rfam family: Bacterial small subunit ribosomal RNA
Source: RNAcentral